CACCGCCUGCCUGAUGCGCGAAUUGUGUUCAUAUAACCCUACAAUCGAUAUUUUGGGAGCUUUGCUCCCGCGGCGGAUUGCAGACCUCCCGCUAAGCGGACGAAGGGAGCGUGAACCCGCGGGGAGAGCACCCACCUGCUUUUGUGUAGGCAGGUUAUCAUCAACCAAUACGGUCCGGCGGGCAACAA
This 188-nucleotide non-coding RNA is filed under the name Candidatus Scatavimonas merdigallinarum. Its description in RNAcentral is "6S RNA". It matches the Rfam family "6S / SsrS RNA". Rfam says of the family: E. coli 6S RNA was the first non coding RNA to be sequenced, but its function was unknown until recently. It consists of 184 nucleotides that fold into an extended hairpin structure with a large single-stranded internal bulge. The record is from RNAcentral. Lineage: Bacteria; Bacillati; Bacillota; Clostridia; Eubacteriales; Oscillospiraceae.